Molecule: long non-coding RNA, 1792 nt
Filed under: Homo sapiens (human)
Lineage: Eukaryota; Metazoa; Chordata; Mammalia; Primates; Hominidae
Description: HSALNT0147388
Source: RNAcentral
GGGUUGGGUUGGGUGGUGAGCCAGGGCUUAGAGCAAGAAGGUGAAGGUGUUGUUCAAAGAAGAGUUGGAAAAUAAAAGAGACUGUGCUUCCCAAGCCCUGAAUUCUAGCAGCUGCAUUGGAAGGGAUUGCAGUUUUGGAAGGAAUGGGAGAUUGAGUCAGAUCAAGGGAUAUACAGAAACAUAUGGAGGAGAGUUCCUGUGGUGACCUGGAAUGCUUGGACUUCUAUGGUGACUGAGGCCAAAAGGAGUAUGAAACAUGAUGAUUAGUUCCAUCGCCUCUAAAGGAAAGGUGGAAAAUUAAUUCUAAGUAUAUCCUCCUUCUUGGGAUAGGAUCCUUGGGUGGUAUGUGAUGAUGAAGCAGGUUGAGGAGCUAGGUGCUUGAGGUGGUGUGAAAGGAGCCUGGGAGGUUCUGAAGCCCUUUUAAGUUGAGCUGGGGGCAGUGUCAAAAGGGAGAUAGGAUAAUAGCCCCUCUACUGUUAACUGUAAACUGUGAGUCUCCUUUAAAAUCUUUGACACAAGCAGUUAAAUGGUCUGGUUCUUAAGAUUUACCAAAUUAUGUUGCAAUCAAUUUUCUGUAUCUGUCUGCACUAAGCUUUAAAUUGCCCCAGCAGAAAUCUUUUCUUAUGUAUCUUUUCAUUUUCAGCACCUAGAUUAAGAAACAUUUGAGGUACUGAAGUUAACUGCUUAAAGAACCAAAGACAAGGUUUUGUUGUGCUAAAGUGAAGUAACCAAAUAAGGCAACAUUUUUUGUUAGCAUUUCUGGAUUGUAAUUUUACCAGGCCGGAAGUGUUACUAAAUGCACUCAUAUUUUUAACCACAAACAGGACUUUCCUUUUUUACUAGUUCAAAGAGUUAAAAUAGUUUCUGCCAGGAAUUGAUGCAAUAAUAUAUGUGUUUAAGUGUUACAUUAAGAAAUCAAUAUUUCUAGCUUGCACUAAGCACAUUAAGCAUCCCUUAACUUAAAAGUGUGAACAGUGUGUUCGCUUGAGAUUAAUUUCAUAAAACGAAAAGAUAAAUUAGAUCACCUAACCUAAGGAGACAAUGAGAUGCCAGCAUUGUCUUUAGUUCUAAACUCUGCUCUAUUUGGGGCAUAGAUUUUUUUUUCCCUUUCUCAGAGCUUGUUGUUUGGAUCAGGGAGAUCUAAUGCAAUAAGGAAAGUAAAGAGACAUUCCCUUCAAAAAAUCUGCCUUCUGCUCUCAGCUUCUACAAGAUAUUUUCACAGUUGGAUAAGAUGCUUCUUAGAUGAUCACCAAUACUCCAUGCCUACUCAUCAGUCCAGCCACUUGAAACAAUCACCAGUACAACAGGACCGCCAUAUCUCCAUGAUAUGAAAUGAAGAGCUCAUCCACGUGCCAGGAAGGUGGUGCACCCCAGCUGAAUGGGAACAGAAGUUCCUGUGCUCAGGACCCUUCUAGACUUCACUUUAUGUAUCUUUUUAUCUGGAUAUUUAUUCAUAUCCUUUCAAAUACCCUUCAUAAUAAAUCAGUAAACGUGUUUCCCUGAGUUCUGUGAGCCACUCCAGCAAAUUAAUCGAACCCAAAGGUGGGGGGAGGAGGUUCACGGGAACCCCAAUUUGAAGCCAGUCAGUCCGAAGUUCCAGAAGCCUGGACUUGCAACCGGGGGGAAGGAGGGGAUGGGCUUGUGGGAGUAAGCUCCUAACCUGUGGGAUCUGAUGAUUUAUCUGGGUAGAUAGUUGGAAUUAAAUUAGAGGACACCCAGCUGGGUCCUCCUGCAGAAUUGACUGCUUGCUUGCUGGAGGGGGAAAAUAAACACAUAUUUUUGGAUCACAGAA